This 465-nucleotide ribosomal RNA is filed under the name Vreelandella stevensii. Its description in RNAcentral is "partial 16S ribosomal RNA". It matches the Rfam family "Bacterial small subunit ribosomal RNA", at positions 338 to 795 of the family's 1533-position model. Lineage: Bacteria; Pseudomonadati; Pseudomonadota; Gammaproteobacteria; Oceanospirillales; Halomonadaceae. The record is from RNAcentral.
CCUACGGGGGGCAGCAGUGGGGAAUAUUGGACAAUGGGGGCAACCCUGAUCCAGCCAUGCCGCGUGUGUGAAGAAGGCCCUCGGGUUGUAAAGCACUUUCAGUGAGGAAGAACGCCUGGUGGUUAAUACCCAUCAGGAAAGACAUCACUCACAGAAGAAGCACCGGCUAACUCCGUGCCAGCAGCCGCGGUAAUACGGAGGGUGCGAGCGUUAAUCGGAAUUACUGGGCGUAAAGCGCGCGUAGGUGGCUUGAUAAGCCGGUUGUGAAAGCCCCGGGCUCAACCUGGGAACGGCAUCCGGAACUGUCAAGCUAGAGUGCAGGAGAGGAAGGUAGAAUUCCCGGUGUAGCGGUGAAAUGCGUAGAGGUCGGGAGGAAUACCAGUGGCGAAGGCGGCCUUCUGGACUGACACUGACACUGAGGUGCGAAAGCGUGGGUAGCAAACAGGAUUAGAUACCCUAGUAGUC